This 5242-nucleotide long non-coding RNA is filed under the name Homo sapiens (human). RNAcentral describes it as "non-protein coding lnc-PJVK-2:16". Lineage: Eukaryota; Metazoa; Chordata; Mammalia; Primates; Hominidae. The record is from RNAcentral.
CCUAUGGGCACAAAAAGCAGGAACGAGUAGCGGUGGCUGAAGAACGAGCAGGAGCUUGAAUUUCAGUUUUCUUAUGAGGAAUUUUCCAGAAAAGAUAUCUUCACUGUGAAAUAACUAAAUAAAUGCCCACUCAGUACAGUCACUGUCUCCCUUUUGGAACUUGAUGGCACCUUAAGCCCAGGUUUGCCUCCACUCUAGAAACUCAUCAGAGUGAUGCCCUUCUCAAAUGGGGGAGGUCCCAAAGCGGAUAUCCUGGCAGUGUGAAAGGCCGGCUAAAGGUUUGUGCCAAGAGGAUCUGUGGAAUGCAUCUCCUACAGCUGGUGCUGCUGAGUAACCACUCUGAUCUGGCAUCUUCUUUGAUCAAGUUACAGAGCAGAGUUUCCAGGGCUGGGGAUUGAAGUCCUGCCUCCUCCCUUUGUCUCUGGUUGUCCUCGGUAAUGUUUUUCCCUCAAGGUACUCAUGAUACUUCCCAUGGGGUGAGUCAGGGACAGGUCUCUUUCCAGGGAAUCCAGGAUGGUAGGGAGGUUGGUUGUCUACCUUGAUCUCACUUUUUCCAUUGUAGAAACUGUGAGUUGGGGAAAGUUUUCCACACACUUGGUGCUGGACAGAUUGUGGCAAGGGGCACCACAGAUAUAAAAAUCUGAUUCUUUUACCAUGCUCAGAGUUUUUUCACUUCUGUGUCCCCAGGAAUUGACUCAUCCUCAUAUCUGAGUUCUGGGAUAUUGUUGGUGAUAAUCUCAGUGCUGUAUAUUUGUUUUUGGUUUUCUGGUGUGGAAGUGAAGCCAGCUUGCGUCUACACUGCCAUUUUUGAACUAGAAGUCCACCUGAUGCCAUGUGGGUCUGCUCUAACAAAGAUGCCUGUAGCUGUCUCUGUAGGUACAAUUGGAGCUACUACCUCAUAAAGUUUGUGGUAGCCCACUAUCUGGUUUUUGGAGGGGCUAGACUGGUAAAUUAAAUGGAGAUACAAUUUGAACCAUCAUCCCCGAAUCUUUUAGGUCUUUUAGGAUGGCAUUAAUUUCUGCCAUUCCCUGAAAUAUUAUUUUUUGAUUUACUGUAUUGGUAUGGAGAAGAGGUCAAUUUUUAAAGCUUCCACCUGGCCACUUGGCCUUUAUCACUAUGUUAGCUCUUACCACACACACCGAGAAACCUGGUGCCACUAAUCAAGUGUAUUUAUCACAAUUAUACACUCAAGGACUAGGUGGGUCUGUGGAUAUAUUGUGAGCCAGACUUGGGCCAGGACACCCUAGGACUUGGCCUCCAUAACCCUUACUCUAAUCAAGGGCAUAUAGUGAGAGUUCUGUGAUAUCAUUGUUAACUCAGACCCUGUUUCCAACAGAUAUCAAAAUGUUGAGUAUUCCCCUUUCACCACUGUAUGAUUUCCUGAGUAAUGGUGAUAGGUCCCUUUGGAGAAGGACUAGAGGAAUCAUUAUUGUGCACACUUGUGGUAUUACACAAUCCUUCCUCCUGGGGACCCAGAUUCUUCUUUAGUUAAUGGGCCUGGAUCCAAAAACGGACUCAGGUCUGGAAAUCGGACAAGGGGUCAUGAUUAUUUUUUAUUUUUAUUUAUUUAUUUAUUUAUUUAUUUUUGAGACAGAGUCUCCCUCUUUAGCCCAGGCUGGAGUGCAGUGGCACAAUCUCUACUCAUGGCAACCUCCAUCUCCUGGGUUCAAGCAAUUCUUUUGCCUCAGCCUCCCGAGUAACUGGAUUACAGGCGCGCACCACCUUGCCCGGCUAAUGUUUGUAUUUUUAGUAGAGACAGGGUUUCACCAUGUUGGCCAGGCUGGUCUUGAACUACUGGCCUCAGGGAAUCCACCCUCCUCGGCCUUCCAAAGUACUAAAUUUAUAGUCAUGAGCCACUGCACCCCGCCAGUUUAACUUUUUUUUAAUUGGCUUAGUUGCCAAGAGAGGAAGUUGGGGAGGAUCCUGAGGAGUGUAUGUUUUGUCCUUGGAGAGAGAGCUCAUUGUCUUCAAGCAAAAGAGGGAGCACACUAGCCCUUAUUAGAGAAGAGAGGGGCACUUCUGUAGCCUUAGAAGGUUCUGGAAACCUGAGGAUUGAAGAUUUUUCAGGUGCAUCAACCCAGAUGGUUUCAUCCCAUGUGUCAGGGUUCCAUUUUUUCCCAAUCAGGGUCCUGACAACAGCACAGUAGACCUGCCUAGCUUGGGUCCUAACUUCUUUGGAGUUUUAUUCUCAUGACUAAGUCCUGGGCCUGGUCCUCAGCUUCCUCUCCUCAUUGGCUUGAGAACCUGAGAGUCUCAUAUUCUACGAGGGAGGCUUUCUGGCCCUCACACUGAGUUUUUGUUUGUUUUUGAGACAAGAUCUUGCUUUGUCACUAAGGCUGAGUGUGUAGUUGCACCCAGGCUGGGAGUGCAGUGGCACAGUAAGCUACUGUAACCUUGAACUCCUGGACCCAAAUUAUCCUCUGGCCUCAGCCUCUUGAGUAACAGAACAACAAAUGCAUGCCACUAUGCCCUGCUGAUUUUAAAUUUUUGUGGAGAUGGGCCUUGCUAUGUUGCCCAGGCUGGUCUUGAAUUCCUGGCCUCAAGCUAUCCUCCCUUUUCAGUCUUCUGAGGCACUGGAAUUACAGGCAUGAGCCACGGCUCUUGGUCCCACACUCAGCUUCUAAUUACCAACUAAUCACUCUCAUUCUUUUAUUUUGAGACAGGGUCUCAUUCUGUAGCUCAAGCUGGAGUACAGUAGUGCAAAUAUAGCUCACUGCAGCCUCAAACUCCUGGGGUCAGGUGAUCUUCUUGCCUCAGCUUCCCAAAUAGCUAGGACUACAGCCACAAGCUACUGGGCAUGGAUAAUUUUUUAAAUAUUUGUAGAGACAGGGUCUCGCUAUGUUGCCCAGGCUGGUCUCAAACUCCUGGCUCAGCCUCCCAAAGUGCUGGGAUUACAAGUGUGAGCCACUAUGCCUGGCCCAUUCUCAUUCUUCUGUUAUCUUUUUCCAAGGUAUCGGUCUAGCUCAGUAAUAACUCUUCAGUUCCACUGUCUACACUGUUUCCCACCUGAUCUUCGUGCCUGCCGGUGCAUUUCUUUGUGUUGACAUGCCAUCUCAGUUCACCACUAGUCAAAGUUUUAAUAACUGCACUGUCAGGGUGUGCUAGCAGUUAACUUCUCCCUGCCCCAGUGAGGAGACUCUCAUCCUAUAAGUGAGAAGGCAAGAGAAAUGGCUCCAAAAGCACACUGGAGCACCUACUUUCCUGCAACCCUUCUGAUACCAAGUAUCACAGAUGCUGAGAUGAAGAUUAGUGGGUAGGAGAUUUGGAUUGCCACCUGUGGAAAGAAAGGAAACUCCACUGGGUGGAGGAAGAAUAUGGACUAUGAUGCAAUCUCAAAGGUGGCCUUAGCUGACACUAAGGGGAACUCUGAAGCUAGGAUGGUCUUUCAGAUUGUUCUAAUAUGGGGCAAUGGGACUAGUCUUUGCAUGCAGCCUGGCCCAAGAAGGAAGUGUGACUUCAGAUGAGGUGGCUCUUUUCACUUAAGAGGGCAAUUCUACUGACAGCUGAGGGCCGUUGGGUGCACACUGCCAGAGCGAGAAAACAAAAUCCUCUGUAGGGAAGGGGACUGUGUGGCAUAUCACAGCACACCCCGAGAACAAGGGAGCGGCUCUUCAUCAAAUAACACAAUAUGGGCCCACAUAUUCCCAGAGGCUGCUAUAGUGCUGGGCACAUUAGUGCUCAAUAACUUAUUGAAUUAGUAUUAUCAUAUUGUGCUAUUGCCAUCCUCAUCUUUUAAAGUCACUUAUCACUUAAUGGAUGUUCUUGUUAGAACUGACACUAUGAAGAUGACUAUGACACAAUUACCUGUUGAGCCUAUUUGAGAAAUUAACCUAUAUUUAACAAGUUUGACUAAUUAGAUUGGUUAAGAGCCUUAGCAGAGGGCUAAACAAAAUGGUGUUAAAGAAUACACCUGAUGGUCCAAGAAAAUCCCUAACUCCCUAGAAGGUCUGGAUAGUCUGAGAAGUGACAUUCGAACAGUGUAAUGCACUUUCCUCCAGAGCCAGAAGCAGGGAAAGCAGAGGCAGCAGCAAUUUUAUCUUCUGGGCACCUUAUCCUCAGACCUCAUUUUAUCAAUACAUACGGACUGUCUACAACCACGUAAUAUCCUUUUCAUCAGCCUUAUGAAAUUUUCCCCCAAUUUAUCCAAGUCAGGAUUUCAGUAUGCAGAAGUCUAAUGUCAUCUUGGAGAGUUCAUUGUGCCUCCCCCAUAUCCAAGACCAUUUACUAAAACCUUAGUUCAGUCUUUAAAGAGUCACAAGAUCCUAUUAUGCCUAGUUUUUUUUCCAGUCUUUUAAGUCUAUUCCUUACCUUGCCAAAAAAGUACCUGUUUCUAUGGUUUAACAAAUGGAGCUUAGAAUAUGGAACUAUGACAAAAAUACCUGCUACAUGCUUCCUUCUGUAUGAAUACAUGAGACCUACCUUCAUUCAUGUUUCCUCUAUGAAGCUUUCCCUGCACUCCAAACACAGAGCUGAGACUUCCACCUAAUGUAGAAAGCUAGCACGAGCCGGCGCUGACAGAUGGAAGACUUGAGAUGUUACAAGAUUAUAUAUGGAAACACAAAAGGAGUGGAGUUGCUGGGUCAUAUGGCAAUUCAUUUGAGGAACUGAGAAGCUUAUUCCAUGGAGGCUGAACUGUUUUAUAUUCCCACCAGCAACGUGUAAGGUUCCAGUUUAUCUACAUCAUCACCAACACUUGCUAUUUUCCAUUUCAUUAAUGAUAGCCAUCCUAGUGGAUUUGAAGUGGUACCUUAUUAUCGUGGUUUUGAUUGCAUUCUCUAUUGACUAAUGAUAUCGAGCAUCUUUUCAUGUAUUUUUUGGUCAUUUGGUCAUUUUUCUUUUUUAAUUUUAAAAUUUUGAGACAGGCUCUCACUAUGUUGCCCAGGUGGUCUCAAACUCCUGGGUUCCAGCGAUGCUCAUGCCUCAGUCUCCCAAAGGGGUGGGAUUACAGGUGUGAGCCACUUUGCCCAGCCCAUUUGUAUAUCUCCUUUGGAGAAUAUCUAGGUUCUUUUGAAGGUAGCUGCAUAUAAACUAGCCAAAUUAACAGACUGUGGUUUUUAGAUGGCUUUCCAUAUCUACAAGAACUAUUUAGUUCUCAAAACUGGGAAGAAAUGUUUCAGAGGCAUCAUUAAUUCAUAAUCUAAAAAUUUAUCUUGGGUUUCCUUUUUUCCCCCAGAUUCUGUAUCCUCCAUAGUCCUAUUCAUGACAUGGGUCGUUCAUCUCUGUAUUCUAAACCCUCAAUGAA